UUCGGGCCUCGCGCGAUUGGAGCGGCCGAUAUCAGAUUAGCUAGUUGGUGGGGUAAAAGCCCACCAAGGCGACGAUCUGUAGCUGGUCUGAGAGGACGACCAGCCACACUGGAACUGAGACACGGUCCAGACUCCUACGGGAGGCAGCAGUGGGGAAUUUUGGACAAUGGACGCAAGUCUGAUCCAGCAAUGCCGCGUGCAGGAUGAAGGCCUUCGGGUUGUAAACUGCUUUUGUACGGAACGAAACGGCUCCUAUUAAUACUGGGGGCUAAUGACGGUACCGUAAGAAUAAGCACCGGCUAACUACGUGCCAGCAGCCGCGGUAAUACGUAGGGUGCGAGCGUUAAUCGGAAUUACUGGGCGUAAAGCGUGCGCAGGCGGUUAUAUAAGACAGAUGUGAAAUCCCCGGGCUCAACCUGGGACCUGCAUUUGUGACUGUAUAGCUAGAGUACGGUAGAGGGGGAUGGAAUUCCGCGUGUAGCAGUGAAAUGCGUAGAUAUGAGGAGGAACACCGAUGGCGAAGGCAAUCCCCUGGACCUGUACUGACGCUCAUGCACGAAAGCGUGGGGAGCAAACAGGAUUAGAUACCCCGGUAGUCCACGCCCUAAACGAUGUCAACUGGUUGUUGGGUCUUCACUGACUCAGUAACGAAGCUAACGCGUGAAGUUGACCGCCUGGGGAGUACGGCCGCGAGGUUGAAACUCAAAGGAAUAGACGGGGACCCGCACAAGCGGUGGAUGAUGUGGUUUAAUUCGAUGCAACGCGAAAAACCUUACCCACCUCUGACAUGUACGGAACUCGCCAGAGAUGGCUUGGUGCUCGAAAGAGAGCCGUAACACAGGUGCUGCAUGGCUGUCGUCAGCUCGUGUCGUGAGAUGUUGGGUUAAGUCCCGCAACGAGCGCAACCCUCGUCAUUAGUUGCUACAUUUAGUUGGGCACUCUAAUGAGACUGCCGGUGACAAGCCGGAGGAAGGUGGGGAUGACGUCAAGUCCUCAUGGCCCUCAUAGGUGGGGGUACACACGUCAUACAAUGGCUGGUACAAAGGGUUGCCAACCCGCGAGGGGGAGCUAAUCCCACAAAGCCAGUCGUAGUCCGGAUCGUAGUCUGCAACUCGACUACGUGAAGUCGGAAUCGCUAGUAAUCGUGGAUCAGAAUGUCACGGCGAAAAAGUUCCCGGGUCUUGCACACACCGCCCG
Molecule: ribosomal RNA, 1197 nt
Filed under: uncultured bacterium
Lineage: Bacteria
Description: bacterial SSU rRNA
Rfam family: Bacterial small subunit ribosomal RNA
Source: RNAcentral